GCUUCGUCGUCUUCUUCUUCUUCG
This 24-nucleotide small RNA is filed under the name Arabidopsis thaliana (thale cress). RNAcentral describes it as "ATSL018480". Lineage: Eukaryota; Viridiplantae; Streptophyta; Magnoliopsida; Brassicales; Brassicaceae. The record is from RNAcentral.